UACGAAGGGGGCUAGCGUUGCUCGGAAUCACUGGGCGUAAAGCGCACGUAGGCGGAUUGUUAAGUCGGGGGUGAAAUCCUGGAGCUCAACUCCAGAACUGCCUUUGAUACUGGCGGUCUCGAGUCCGGGAGAGGUGAGUGGAACUGCGAGUGUAGAGGUGAAAUUCGUAGAUAUUCGCAAGAACACCAGUGGCGAAGGCGGCUCACUGGCCCGGUACUGACGCUGAGGUGCGAAAGCGUGGGGAGCAAACAGG
This 253-nucleotide ribosomal RNA is filed under the name uncultured bacterium. Its description in RNAcentral is "partial 16S ribosomal RNA". It matches the Rfam family "Bacterial small subunit ribosomal RNA", at positions 524 to 776 of the family's 1533-position model. The record is from RNAcentral.